UACAGAGGGGGCAAGCGUUGUUCGGAAUUACUGGGCGUAAAGGGCGCGUAGGCGGCCUGCUAAGUCGAACGUGAAAUCCCCGGGCUCAACCCGGGAACUGCGUCCGAGACUGAAAGGCUUGAAUCCGGGAGAGGGAUGUGGAAUUCCAGGUGUAGCGGUGAAAUGCGUAGAUAUCUGGAGGAACAUCGGUGGCGAAGGCGGCAUCCUGGACCGGUAUUGACGCUGAGGCGAGAAAGCCAGGGGAGCAAACGGG
RNAcentral lists this ribosomal RNA (253 nucleotides) under uncultured bacterium. Its description in RNAcentral is "partial 16S ribosomal RNA". It matches the Rfam family "Bacterial small subunit ribosomal RNA", at positions 524 to 776 of the family's 1533-position model. The record is from RNAcentral.